RNAcentral lists this long non-coding RNA (777 nucleotides) under Cyanistes caeruleus (blue tit). RNAcentral describes it as "lncRNA (ENSCCEG00000018082.1)". The record is from RNAcentral. Lineage: Eukaryota; Metazoa; Chordata; Aves; Passeriformes; Paridae.
UAAUUAAAGGUGUCGAACCCCCCCAGGGGUCCCGGCGGAAGCGGGAGCGCCGGAAGGAGCCGCGGCGAGGGCGGGGGGCGGAGCCUGAGCCCGAGGAGGAGGAGCUGAGCCGGCGGCUCCAGGCCCUGGCGGCCGCGGCCGAGGAGGAGGAGGAGGAGGAGGAGGAAGGUCCGGGAUGGGAAUUUGGGGGGUCCUGGGGGGGUUUAACCCCUCGGUGACCCCCAAAAUCUGACCCACAGCUCCAGCGGCGCGGAAAGGAGGGAGGAGGAGGAAGGGUGGGAACGUUUUCGCUGCUCUGAGCCAGGAGCAGAGCGAGGAAGAGGAGGAGGAAGACCAGGAGCAGAGCGAGGAAGAGGAGGAGGAAGAGGAAGAAAAGGAAAAAAAAACGUCCAAGGGGAAAAUUGCCAAGGAGGAAGAGGAGGCCGAGAGGAGGAAGAGGAAGAGCAGCAGGAACGACAAAUCCAAAGGGAGGCGAAAGGGAAAACCCGGCAGCGACGAUGAGGAGGCCGAAGGCUCCGAGGAGCCCAAAGGGGGGAAGAACAAAUUUGGAGCCCUGAGAGAUGAGGAGGAGGAGGAGGAAGAGGAGGAGGAGGAAGAGGAAGGAGCCCGGAAGGGAAGCGAGAACGUGAGUUUGGGGUGGGGGGAGGGGCCCCCGAGGGGAUUUUGGGGGAAUUUUGGGAAAUUUUGGGGAUUUUUGGGGAAAUUUUGGGAAAUUUUGGGGAUUUUUGGGAUAUUUUAGGUUUUUUUUGGGGGGUAUUUUAAAUUAUUAAAAAAAAU